RNAcentral lists this ribosomal RNA (396 nucleotides) under uncultured bacterium. RNAcentral describes it as "bacterial SSU rRNA". It matches the Rfam family "Bacterial small subunit ribosomal RNA", at positions 29 to 428 of the family's 1533-position model. The record is from RNAcentral.
AUUGAACGCUGGCGGCAUGCCUUACACAUGCAAGUCGAACGGCAGCACGGGGGCAACCCUGGUGGCGAGUGGCGGACGGGUGAGUAACACAUCGGAACGUGCCCUGGAGUGGGGGAUAACGCAGCGAAAGCUACGCUAAUACCGCAUAUUCUGUGAGCAGGAAAGCAGGGGAUCGCAAGACCUUGCGCUUUGGGAGCGGCCGAUGUCGGAUUAGCUAGUUGGUGGGGUAAAGGCUUACCAAGGCGACGAUCCGUAGCGGGUCUGAGAGGAUGAUCCGCCACACUGGGACUGAGACACGGCCCAGACUCCUACGGGAGGCAGCAGUGGGGAAUUUUGGACAAUGGGCGGAAGCCUGAUCCAGCCAUGCCGCGUGAGUGAAGAAGGCCUCGGUUGUAA